UGGGGAAUAUUGCACAAUGGGCGCAAGCCUGAUGCAGCCAUGCCGCGUGUGUGAAGAAGGCCUUCGGGUUGUAAAGCACUUUCAGCGAGGAGGAAGGUGGUGAGCUUAAUACGCUCAUCAAUUGACGUUACUCGCAGAAGAAGCACCGGCUAACUCCGUGCCAGCAGCCGCGGUAAUACGGAGGGUGCAAGCGUUAAUCGGAAUUACUGGGCGUAAAGCGCACGCAGGCGGUUUGUUAAGUCAGAUGUGAAAUCCCCGGGCUCAACCUGGGAACUGCAUUUGAAACUGGCAAGCUAGAGUCUCGUAGAGGGGGGUAGAAUUCCAGGUGUAGCGGUGAAAUGCGUAGAGAUCUGGAGGAAUACCGGUGGCGAAGGCGGCCCCCUGGACGAAGACUGACGCUCAGGUGCGAAAGCGUGGGGAGCAAAACAGGAUUAGAUACCCUGGUAGUCCACGCUGUAAACGAUGUCGAUUUUGGAGGUUGUGCCCUUGAGGCGUGGCUUCCGGAGCUAACGCGUUAAAUCGACCGCCUGGGGAGUACGGCCGCAAGGUUAAAACUUAAAGG
RNAcentral lists this ribosomal RNA (562 nucleotides) under uncultured bacterium. RNAcentral describes it as "partial 16S ribosomal RNA". It matches the Rfam family "Bacterial small subunit ribosomal RNA", at positions 355 to 907 of the family's 1533-position model. The record is from RNAcentral.